This is a non-coding RNA of Heterocephalus glaber (naked mole-rat), 368 nucleotides long. The record is from RefSeq and is a predicted model, not a curated record. Lineage: Eukaryota; Metazoa; Chordata; Mammalia; Rodentia; Bathyergidae.
CUCAGAAAGUCCUGCUAGAACUCUUUGUUCUCUCCGUAUCUGCUGCUCUGCUUUGUGUAAAUCCUGCUUGCUAUAUUUCCAGGGAAAUUCCAAUGGAAUGAAGCCUCCUAUACGUAAAAAGAGAACAAUGCCAGUACAUGAAAAAAGAAAAUAUUUAGGACUUUCAAAGUUUUUAGAUCUACCAAUUGUUCAAAUGUCAUGAGAUCCUGGAAACAGAGGCUACUGGGAAAUAAUAUUUAGAAGAUACAUGCCUUGAACAUGUGCCACUUGAUGCAGUUACACAUCUUGGUCACACAGAAGAGUUAAUAAUUCCUGAAGUGAAUACUAAUGAGAAUAAUGUCCACCUUAGUCACUGAAGAAACUAAAUA